RNAcentral lists this ribosomal RNA (492 nucleotides) under uncultured bacterium. RNAcentral describes it as "partial 16S ribosomal RNA". The stretch from base 16 to 374 matches the Rfam family "Bacterial small subunit ribosomal RNA", at positions 43 to 396 of the family's 1533-position model. The record is from RNAcentral.
AGUGAACGCUGGCGGUAGGCCUAACACAUGCAAGUCGAACGGCAGCACAGUAAGAGCUUGCUCUUACGGGUGGCGAGUGGCGGACGGGUGAGGAAUACAUCGGAAUCUACUUUUUCGUGGGGGAUAACGUAGGGAAACUUACGCUAAUACCGCAUACGACCUACGGGUGAAAGCAGGGGAUCUUCGGACCUUGCGCGAUUGAAUGAGCCGAUGUCGGAUUAGCUAGUUGGCGGGGUAAAGGCCCACCAAGGCGACGAUCCGUAGCUGGUCUGAGAGGAUGAGCAGACACACGGGAAGGGAGACGAGGUGCAGAGUACUACGGGAGGAAGAAGGGGGGAAGAGGGGACAGGGGGGGGAAGCAUGAUCCAGCAAUAGAGAGGGGGUGAAGAAGGGAGAGGGGUGGGGAAGCACUGUUGUGGGGAAAGAAAAGCAGCAGGGAAAGAACAGGAGGGGCUGAGGGUACCCAAAGAAGAAGGAAAGGAGAACGGAGUG